GGUUCUCGUUAGAUCACCGAAGUCAAGCAUCAUUGGGCGCGGUCAGUACUUGUGUGGGUGACCACCUGGGAACACCGCGUGCCGUU
This is a non-coding RNA of Caerostris darwini, 86 nucleotides long. The record is from the annotation of a GenBank genome assembly. NCBI's taxonomy places the organism in Eukaryota, Metazoa, Arthropoda, Arachnida, Araneae, Araneidae.